GAUGAACGCUGGCGGCGUGCUUAACACAUGCCAGUCGAACGGUAAAGGCGGAGUUUGCUCUUCUGGAUCAGUGGCGAACGUGUGUGUAACACGUGUGCAAUGUGCCCCUGACUCUGGGAUAAGCGCUGGAAACGGGGUCUAAUACUGGAUACGAGCUUCGAAGGCAUCUUCAGCAGCUGGAAAUAAUUUCGGUCGGGGAUGAGCUCGCGGUCUCUCAGCUUGUUGGUGGGGUAGUGGCUCACCAAGGCGUGGAGGGUUAGCCGGCCUGAGAGGGUGACCGGCAAAAUUGGGCCUGGGAAACGGCCAGGCUCCCACGGGGGGGCAGAGGUGGGGAAUAUUGACCAAUGGUGGAAGCCUUAAUGCAGAAACGCGGGGGGGGGGAGAACGGCCUUCGGGUUGUAAACGUCUUUUAGCAGGGAAGAAGCGAGAGUGACGGUACUUGGAGAAGAAGCGCCGGCUAACUACGUG
Molecule: ribosomal RNA, 468 nt
Filed under: uncultured bacterium
Lineage: Bacteria
Description: partial 16S ribosomal RNA
Rfam family: Bacterial small subunit ribosomal RNA
Source: RNAcentral